AAGUGGGCUGGGAGGGUCAUUAACUCUUACAUAAGAAUUUAAUAGCAACGGAUUCAGUCGUCCUGCCUGCCAAAUGCCUCCCUCGCUGCCAGGGCGGAGGAAGUGGGAGAAUCAGAAUUAUUCUGGGUGGCUCAACAAGUGUUUAUGAGGCGCCGAUGGUGUGCCAGGCAUUUGGAGGGGACGAUGGGAGACGCACGUGAACAUGAAGGAAGUAAUGCUCUCUGCACUCCAAGUUCACACCACGGUGGGAAAGAGAGCAGGGAGACAGAUUGGUCCUCCUGUCUCUUUAAGAAGGGUUUACUCGGCCCUCCCUGGUGGCACAGCGGGUUAAAGCACUGGACUGAGAAGCUAAA
This is a long non-coding RNA of Condylura cristata (star-nosed mole), 353 nucleotides long. RefSeq lists it as uncharacterized. The transcript has 3 exons. The record is from RefSeq and is a predicted model, not a curated record. Lineage: Eukaryota; Metazoa; Chordata; Mammalia; Eulipotyphla; Talpidae.